Molecule: non-coding RNA, 68 nt
Submitted as: unclassified sequences
Source: Rfam
UAUCUUUGCACCCGUAUUGAUCAUGGUGAUCAGUCUACAUAAUAAUCAUUUACAAAAAUAUUAGCAUG